AAAAACACAGGGAUUGCCCUAGUAACGGCGAGUGAAGCGGCAACAGCUCAAAUUUGAAAUCUGGCGCUUUCAGCGUCCGAGUUGUAAUUUGCAGAGGGCGCUUUGGCGUUAGCAGCGGUCCAAGUUCCUUGGAACAGGUCGUCACAGAGGGUGAGAAUCCCGUACGUGGCCGCAUGUCUCCGCCGUGUAAAGCCCCUUCGACGAGUCGAGUUGUUUGGGAAUGCAGCUCUAAAUGGGAGGUAAAUUUCUUCUAAAGCUAAAUACUGGCCAGAGACCGAUAGCGCACAAGUAGAGUGAUCGAAAGAUGAAAAGCACUUUGGAAAGAGAGUCAAACAGCACGUGAAAUUGUUGAAAGGGAAGCGCUUGCAGCCAGACUUGCCUGCCGUUGCUCAUCCGGGCUUUUGCCCGGUGCAUUCUUCGGUAGGCAGGCCAGCAUCAGUUUGGGCGGUGGGAUAAAGGUCUCUGUCACGUACCUCCUUUCGGGGAGGCCUUAUAGGGGAGACGCCAUGCCACCAGCCUGGACUGAGGUCCGCGCAUCUGCUAGGAUGCUGGCGUAAUGGCUGUAAGCGGCCCGUCUUGAAACACGGACCAAGGAGUCUAACAUCUAUGCGAGUGUUUGGGUGUCAAGCCCAAGCGCGUAAUGAAAGUGAACGGAGGUGGGACCCCGCAAGGGUGCACCAUCGACCGAUCCUGAUGUCUUCGGAUGGAUUUGAGUAAGAGCAUGGCUGUUGGGACCCGAAAGAUGGUGAACUAUGCUUGAAUAGGGUGAAGCCAGAGGAAACUCUGGUGGAGGCUCGCAGCGGUUCUGACGUGCAAAUCGAUCGUCAAAUUUGGGCAUAGGGGCGAAAGACUAAUCGAACUAUCUAGUAGCUGGUUCCUGCC
RNAcentral lists this ribosomal RNA (882 nucleotides) under uncultured fungus. RNAcentral's name for it is "LSU rRNA". It matches the Rfam family "Eukaryotic large subunit ribosomal RNA", at positions 60 to 962 of the family's 3401-position model. The record is from RNAcentral. Lineage: Eukaryota; Fungi.